This 511-nucleotide ribosomal RNA is filed under the name uncultured bacterium. RNAcentral's name for it is "partial 16S ribosomal RNA". The record is from RNAcentral.
GGAGUUAGCCGGUGCUUCUUCUGCGAGUAACGUCACAGAUGUAAGGUAUUAACUUACACCCUUUCCUCCUCGCUGAAAGUGCUUUACAACCCGAAGGCCUUCUUCACACACGCGGCAUGGCUGCAUCAGGGUUUCCCCCAUUGCGCAAUAUUCCCCACUGCUGCCUCCCGUAGGAGUCUGGGCCGUGUCUCAGUCCCAGUGUGGCUGAUCAUCCUCUCAGACCAGCUAGGGAUCGUCGCCUAGGUGAGCCUUUACCUCACCUACUAGCUAAUCCCACCUGGGCUUAUCCAUCAGCGCAAGGCCCGAAGGUCCCCUGCUUUCCCCCGUAGGGCGUAUGCGGUAUUAGCAGUCGUUUCCAACUGUUAUCCCCCACAAAUGGGCAAAUUCCCAGGCAUUACUCACCCGUCCGCCGCUCGUCAUCUUCAAAAGCAAGCUUUUGAAAUGUUACCGCUCGACUUGCAUGUGUUAGGCCUGCCGCCAGCGUUCAAUCUGAGCCAUAAUCAAACUCUGA